UAGGUCUUAGCUUAAUUAAAGCAAUUGAUUUGNAUUCAAUAGAUGUAGGAUAUAGUCUUAUAGUCUUUA
Molecule: transfer RNA, 69 nt
Filed under: Mus pahari (shrew mouse)
Lineage: Eukaryota; Metazoa; Chordata; Mammalia; Rodentia; Muridae
Description: tRNA (MGP_PahariEiJ_G0000133.1)
Rfam family: tRNA
About the family: Transfer RNA (tRNA) molecules are approximately 80 nucleotides in length.
Source: RNAcentral